Molecule: ribosomal RNA, 500 nt
Filed under: uncultured bacterium
Lineage: Bacteria
Description: partial 16S ribosomal RNA
Rfam family: Bacterial small subunit ribosomal RNA
Source: RNAcentral
AUUGAACGCUGGCGGCAUGCCUUACACAUGCAAGUCGAACGGCAGCACGGACUUCGGUCUGGUGGCGAGUGGCGAACGGGUGAGUAAUGCAUCGGAACGUACCCGGUAGUGGGGGAUAACUACCCGAAAGGGUGGCUAAUACCGCAUAUACUGUUAGCAGGAAAGCAGGGGACCUGCGGGCCUUGUGCUACCGGAGCGGCCGAUGUCAGAUUAGGUAGUUGGUGGGGUAACGGCCUACCAAGCCUGCGAUCUGUAGCGGGUCUGAGAGGAUGAUCCGCCACACUGGGACUGAGACGCGGCCCAGACUCCUACGGGAGGCAGCAGUGGGGAAUUUUGGACAAUGGGCGCAAGCCUGAUCCUGCCAUGCCGCGUGAGUGAAGAAGGCCUUCGGGUUGUAAAGCUCUUUCGGACGGAAAGAAAUCGCGCAGGCUAAUAUCCUGUGCGGAUGACGGUACCGUCAUAAGAAGCACCGGCUAACUACGUGCCAGCCGCCGCCGUAA